UAGCUCAGUUGGUAGAGCGCAACCUUGCCAAGGUUGAGGUCACGAGUUCGAACCUCGU
This 58-nucleotide transfer RNA is filed under the name Vibrio cholerae. Its description in RNAcentral is "tRNA-Gly". It matches the Rfam family "tRNA", at positions 8 to 63 of the family's 71-position model. From Rfam's summary of the family: Transfer RNA (tRNA) molecules are approximately 80 nucleotides in length. Their secondary structure includes four short double-helical elements and three loops (D, anti-codon, and T loops). Further hydrogen bonds mediate the characteristic L-shaped molecular structure. tRNAs have two regions of fundamental functional importance: the anti-codon, which is responsible for specific mRNA codon recognition, and the 3' end, to which the tRNAs corresponding amino acid is attached (by aminoacyl-tRNA synthetases). tRNAs cope with the degeneracy of the genetic code in two manners: having more than one tRNA (with a specific anti-codon) for a particular amino acid; and 'wobble' base-pairing, i.e. permitting non-standard base-pairing at the 3rd anti-codon position. Lineage: Bacteria; Pseudomonadati; Pseudomonadota; Gammaproteobacteria; Vibrionales; Vibrionaceae. The record is from RNAcentral.